GACGAACGCUGGCGGCGUGCUUAACACAUGCAAGUCGAACGGAAAGGCCCUGCUUUUGUGGGGUGCUCGAGUGGCGAACGGGUGCGUAACACGUGAGUAACCUGCCCUUGACUUUGGGAUAACUUCAGGAAACUGGGGCUAAUACCGGAUAGGAGCUCCUGCUGCAUGGUGGGGGUUGGAAAGUUUCGGCGGUUGGGGAUGGACUCGCGGCUUAUCAGCUUGUUGGUGGGGUAGUGGCUUACCAAGGCUUUGACGGGUAGCCGGCCUGAGAGGGUGACCGGCCACAUUGGGACUAAGAUACGGCGCAGACUCCUACGGGAGGCAGCAGGGGGGAAUAUUGCACAAUGGGCGGAAGCCUGAUGCAGCAACGCCGCGUGCGGGAUGACGGCCUUCGGGUUGUAAACCGCUGUCGCCUGUGACGAAGCGUGAGUGACGGUAAUGGGUAAAGAAGCACCGGCUAACUACGUG
Molecule: ribosomal RNA, 468 nt
Filed under: uncultured bacterium
Lineage: Bacteria
Description: partial 16S ribosomal RNA
Rfam family: Bacterial small subunit ribosomal RNA
Source: RNAcentral